UUUUGCAAUUUUUUCAAUUGAUUCGAAAGCCAAGAAGAUGAAAAACUCGCGCUUUGGCGACGCAGCUGUCACCAUCCUCCGGCAACGGCCAUACCAUGCUGAAUGCACCGGUUCUCGUCAGUCUUGCCUGAGCGUUGGUUCAAUCAAGUCAGGCAGAUACCUUUCAGCGUUGAUAACACAUCAAUCUUUGGAACGUGUGAAGUUACAGAGCUGCAGUGACACAACGCUGCGUGCACGGGCAGUUUUUUUUUUGUGCAUGAACUGAAAAAGAAAGUAGAUAACCGCUGUGGGGGGUGCCCCCCGACGCAACAAGAGCACCGUCUCGUGUGAAUUAUGGAAUCAUCCACCAACGCAUCCUUUUCUCUUAAAUCUUCGACCAAGAGAAAAAUUGCUGAUAUCUCAAACGAAUCAAUCGUACCCAUCCCAACCGACAAAUCUGUGAAAAUGCAGCGCGCCGGAUCCGCGUUCAUAGAGACAUCCAAGAGAUCUCCCACACAGCACACGUCAUCGGCACGGGCUACAAAAAGCGCAACAACGAAAUUGCGCGGCAAAAAAGCUAAAUUGGCACCGAAACCCAACUUAGUUACGCGCCCAAGAGCCAAAGUUUUCGCAUCUGAUGUAACACAAAUUCCCAAUCAAUCCAGCGAAUCUCCGUUAUGGAUGGGAGCCGAGAUUUUCGAAAAAUCCGAAAUAGAACGGAAACUCGAACACGCGUUACGUCAAAUCGAGAAGCUCAAGAAAGUAAACUUGGACAUGGCAACCCGAAUCGAGUCAUUUAAAAGUAAGAGACCCGAAUUCGGUCAACAGCUGAGCGCCGUGGAUUUAAACCGAACGGACAUUCAGCGGAGCCUGGAGCACAACAAACAACAACGUCGAGCAUCAUCACUCAGCAACCUAAGCCAAGGCCGCAGCUACACACCAGCGGAGGACGAGCUCAUCGACAUUGACCACAAUAACGCCGGCCACCCCCACCAGGUUGACAGCGGAGCCUCGCCUACGCGUCAUCCGAAUCACCAACACGAAGGGACCAACCAAAGUAGUACCUCUUUCCUAAAUAAAACAAACAAAGUCAAAAAAACACCACCGAUUAUAACGAUAGACCAGUCUGCUAAAGUCAUAUCCAACUUUAUGCUAGUCUCUAUGAAUAUUAAGAACUUUAACAUAAAAAGAAUUAGGCACAAUAAGCAUGUCAUCCACGUAGACAAUCUAAUCGAGUAGAAAAAAACCUGUAAAACCAUUAAAAAUAGGAAUAUCAGAAUUCUCACGUUCAUACCAAACGAAAUUAAAACAAAAACAGUUCUACUCAAGGGAAGAGAGGAAGAUUUCGAUGCGGAUGACAUACUCGAAGCCCUGAAAGCGCAGUCAAUAGACGAAUUAGAUUUCCAGGGUGUCUCGGUAUUUUCCACUUCCAAUUCUAAAAGGCUUAAUAGAAGCCCACCCAUGUUUUUAGUCAAAUUGUCGGCGAACAGCAACCUGUCGAAACUAAACAACAUAAAAAACAUUGUGUUUCAAUCUGUAACCUAGGACUCUUUGAAAAGGAGAGGGAAAAUUCAAUGCGAACGCUGUCAGCGAAUAGGUCACAUAUCGAGCAAUUGCAAACUCAGCCAUAGAUGUGUGAAAUGUGAAGAGAACUGUUACGUUUUCGAUUAACUUUGUGGUGGUUUUUUUUAUUUUUUUUAAGUUCUUUAUUUAUUUUUCUCUUGCAACAUCCCCGACGCGGAAUGAUGCGUUUCGCAGCACAUUUUUUUACUUAGUAGCGACAGUGUCGGUAACUAUCAUAACAAAAAAUGUUACUAAAUCUAUUGGGGAUAAAACAUAAAAAUUGGUAAUCCCAAACAUACCGCCCGCCUUGAAGGAACGGCUUCAACUUUCAGAAGGUAAGUACAUAUAAGUUUAAGUUAGGCAUAAUUAAACAUCAAUAGAUAUCUUAUGAAUGGUAACAACUUCUUUGGUAUUACUAACAACAAAGCUAAGUAAUCAAAUAAAUCAUCUCUCCCCCCUUUUUUUUUUUUUUUUAUGUAUCGAGAGGAAGGGCACACAGUUUCUUCACCGGACGCUUGAAGGUACCGCUGGAAGUCUUCACUGAAGCCACUCGGAUAACGCCGUCCUCCCCUGGGUACACCUGACUUACACGACCCAACGUCCAAUAUAGCGGAGCAGUGUUGUCAUCCGCAAUAAGAACUAAGGUUGGGUCCCGGUAGCAGUUUGUCAUUCAAAGAAUAACCAUUAGAUGUCUUAGCCGAUCCAUCAAACACUACCCUAAGCUUGGUAGAGGCACUUUCUUCUCGUACGACCGGGUGAUGUGGUAUGCCGUCGGCGUGGCGUCGUUACUUUAUUCACCCUGAAUUUUCGCACUGUGUUUCACUAUACCGUCGGAUCCGGCUCGAAGGACCAAAUUUUAUGUUACGUUUUCGAUUAACUUUGUGGUGGUUUUUUUUUAUUUUUUUUAAGUUCUUUAUUUAUUUUUCUCUUGCAACAUCCCCGACGCGGAAUGAUGCGUUUCGCAGCACAUUUUUUUACUUAGUAGCGACAGUGUCGGUAACUAUCAUAACAAAAAAUGUUACUAAAUCUAUUGGGGAUAAAACAUAAAAAUUGGUAAUCCCGAACAAGAACCAUGAGUCGGGUCAAUGUGAAAUCCCGUCAAACGAGCGAACCGACAAAUCCAAAGUAUUUUGUGUAAAUUGUAAAAAAUACGGUCAUCCCGCUCCGUAUCGCGGCUGUCCCAAAAUCGCCGAGUACGGUAAAAUUAUUGCUCAAAAAGUAGACGCAGCGAACAAGUGGAGCCAAGCAAAGCUAGUAAAAAUUGCCAAGAUCGUAGACCCGACAACCACCUUUAGUUCCAAUGUAGCUAAUAAGCCUGCCGAGGAUCGCGAAUCAAUGAAAUUAGUAGCGGUGAGGCCAGAGAUCCCACCGAGACUUCGGCUGAGGCAAGACCAAUGCGCGCGAGCGAAACGAGCCGUCUUAUCGAAAUGUUUGACCGUUUAAACACCCAACUCCAGAAAAUACAAGAAGACGUUUCACAAAAUACGCCAUUCAGCGCAGGAAUCACCUGGCUCAUCUAUUGCAAUUGGAAAAACCUGAGUUUGUCCUUUUGGGCGAAACGAAACUCAGCGACAGAUUCAAAAUGUCCUUCGAAAAUUAUGCAAUGAUCGGAAAUGACAGACCGAAUGCGAUACAAGGAGGGGGGACGGCACUGCUGAUCAGACAUCCAAUCAAAUUUGAGCGAAAUUUCCCGCUCUGCUUAUCGAACGCGAGAGCCUUAGAGGCUACCGUAGUCAAAUUGCGAGUCAACUGUCAUUACAAUCUUUUUAUCAUAGCAGCUUAUGCCGCGAAAAACUCAUGGAAAGAAAUUCACGCUCGAAAUCACGCAAUUGAACUCCCACAUGACCAAAGAAAUCAGUGAGCUACAAAAACACAAAACGUUCAUUAUCAGUCGAAUUAAUGAAUUACAUAAAAUCAACCCACAGGGUAAUUUAGUCCAACUCAAUAUAUUGAAAGACCUGCUCACGGAAACAAGACAGAAAAUAAGAGUAAAAGUCUCCAGAUCUGUAAACGGGCACUGGGAAAAAAAAAUCAGAGACAUAGCUAUCGACAAACCGGAUAAACUAUUCCCGCAGAUAAAUCGGUUAUUGAGACCGCGUAGCUCAAAACCUAUACCAACACUAGUGAUCCCGCAAACUAAGUACAACCUCCUGACAGCAGCCGGCGUAUCACCGAUCACUACGAUACGCGAUCACUCAAACUUCGUAAUUUCCAACCGAGAAGAAAAACUGAACGUCAUAGGAGCGCACUUCGCAGCCACAAAUAUCCAAAAUACUAACCUGGGCAAAGGCAAACACGCCGCUCUGAUCAAAACCAAAAUCGGAGAACUGAAAUCCGCCAUCGGAAGUGACAGGGCUGCAAACAAAACAGUCACAACCUUCUCUGACUGCAAUCCGGCGACUCAACUUAGAAGUGACGAAGCAGCCCUUAAAUAUUUCACAUCAGCUAUCGAGUUAAGGGACAUAUUCAAAAAAACUGAGUAAUAAGAAAUCAGCAGGUUACGACAAUAUUCCUAGUAUAGUACUUAAACAUCUUAAAAAAAAAAUUGUCAACUACUACUGCAUUCUCUUCAAUAACGCGCUCAACAACACCUACUUUUCGAAUUGUUGGAAAACAGCAAAAGUUAUCGCUCUACUGAAAAAAAACAAGAAAUGUUCAGACCCUUCAAGCUACAGACCCAUCAGUUUGCUGUCAAACAUUAGUAAAAUCUUUGAAGUCUUGGUGAAUAAAGCCUUGACGGUCUUUUGUGACGAGAAUGAGAUAAUACCGGAAUCUCAAUUUGGUUUCAGACACAAACAUUCAACCGUCCACGCCAUCAAUAAAUUCACAUCAGAUAUUUGUUGGGCGUUGAACAACAACGAUUGCGUGGCAGCAUGCUUGAUAGACCUGGGGAAGGUUUUCGAUACCGUAUGGCUAGACGGCUUAUUUUACAGAUUGAUACGAAAAAACUUUCCUGUAAAACUUACUCAAAUGCUCUGGCAAUGAGUUAUGUUACAUGACAAGCGUUUGCGGUCUGUGACGGCUACUUGGAUUCAGUAAAAACCUUCAGCAUUGCCGACGGUUUACAACAAGGUACCGUUAACUCGCCGAUUUUAUUCAAUUUUUAUAAUAGCGACAUUUUGAACCUCUCCAACUUGAACAAGGAUCCCUCGAAGAAAGCGAUCGCAUUCGCGGACGAUUCAGUCAUAUAAUACAUAUCAGGUAGAAAACCCUCAGUACUCAAAAUCCGACUCGAGGAUCUUUUUAUCAAAAUUGCCGAUUACUACAGAACCUGGAAGCUAAAAAUAAACACGGCUAAAUGCGAGACAAUCCUGUUCAGACCUAUGCUUAAAAAAGCGUCUCGCGACGCCAAGAAAAACUGGAAAAACUUUGAAAUUAGGGAUAGCAGAAGAGACGGCACACCCGUCGCGCACAGAGACUCUGUUAGAUAUUCAGGGACAGAUUUAAUCAACAUGUAAACAUACAAUUAAGUAAGGCUCAAAAGGCCUUUUGCGGCUCAAUCCGGCUCUUCCAUGCACCGCUUCUACUUAAGAAGAUUAAAGUCUUGUGCCAUUUACUUCUCAUAAGACCUAUAAUCACGUAUGGAUGCCCGAUAUGGUUUAACUUAAGCCCUGGAAUGAUGGAAAAAAUCAGAAUCUUUGAAAGAAAAUGUAUACGCAUCUGUCUGGGCAGGUACAGGUCAGCUUCAUCGGCCUACGUCAGAUACAUGAAUACUAUCAGGCUUCAUCCCUUCGGAAGCCUUCAUUUACCUCGACGGAUGCGGAUACAUUCAGGAUGAGCAUAAUAUACCCAUCAUUUACGACGUCAAAAGAAAUCUCCACCAAAAAGAAAUUUUAUUCAAUCCCAAUAGCAAUUGUGAAGAUGCGCAUGACAAUGACGCAACGUAGCACUCCCAGCAAAAGACCUUAAGGACAAUCAUAGACGUAACAGUGAGAAGUAUUGGUGGAUAAAUCAGCAAUAACGCCCAGAGCAGCAGCGCAAUCCCAUCAGCUGUGAUUUUCUAGUCCACAGGCAACAAUAGUCGUAGGAAUGUACGAGAUUAGUGUCUUUAAGUUUCCCGCCUUUGUUUUGUCCGAUUAUUCUGUAAUUCGUUUCUGUUUGAUUGUUUGGUUUAUCUCAGUUCAUUUUAUUUUUUCAUCUUAUUUAGUUCAUUUUUGUACUGCCCCUCUCUUAUCACUAGGCUUAAUUAAUGUACAUGAACUCGCCCCCUGAUUAGUUUUUGCUAAAGCCGUUUUCUGAUCAAAACCGUCAGCCGAAAGGCCGCAAUGCCCCUCAUGCCUUUGUCAACCCUAUACGGGAACUACGAAAAGUACACCUACGUCUCCGUGCAACGAUAAGGAGGCGUAUUAGAUAAAUACGUAAUCUGGCGUGUAGUGCUCGCAGCGGCGAGCCGUAACGCAUGAAUACUAUUAUUGUGAUGAUGUUAAUAUGUUUAAGGAGUUUUUCCAUAUUAUAAUAAAUGAAACUGUAUAUAACAAAGGACUUAUAAAUAAAAUUCUAUUGUUACGUCCA
Molecule: RNA transcript, 6054 nt
Organism: Athalia rosae (coleseed sawfly)
Lineage: Eukaryota; Metazoa; Arthropoda; Insecta; Hymenoptera; Athaliidae
Exons: 4
Source: RefSeq, a predicted model, not a curated record